RNAcentral lists this unclassified non-coding RNA (219 nucleotides) under Hevea brasiliensis (rubber tree). The record is from RNAcentral. Lineage: Eukaryota; Viridiplantae; Streptophyta; Magnoliopsida; Malpighiales; Euphorbiaceae.
GAUGAGAAGGAGAAAGACCCUUUUCCCAUGGACAAGGAAUGGGACUGCAAUUGUUUCAGUUUCAGCUUCAGCUUCCUCUCUUUCUACCAAUCAGAUGACAAGGGACUCUUCCCGCCUCAAUGUUUAUCAGGAGGUUGUCAAGUCUGCAAGGGAAAGGUUCACCCGGGAAAUCUCCUUCCAAUCAAAGGACAAAGACAUCUCUCUUGCGAAGGCCUUGCU